GCAAUGGUGCUUCAGUGGUAGAAUUCUCACCUUCCAUGCAGGAGACCUGGGUUUGAUUCCUGGCCAAUGCA
RNAcentral lists this transfer RNA (71 nucleotides) under Loxodonta africana (African savanna elephant). It matches the Rfam family "tRNA". From Rfam's summary of the family: Transfer RNA (tRNA) molecules are approximately 80 nucleotides in length. Their secondary structure includes four short double-helical elements and three loops (D, anti-codon, and T loops). Further hydrogen bonds mediate the characteristic L-shaped molecular structure. tRNAs have two regions of fundamental functional importance: the anti-codon, which is responsible for specific mRNA codon recognition, and the 3' end, to which the tRNAs corresponding amino acid is attached (by aminoacyl-tRNA synthetases). tRNAs cope with the degeneracy of the genetic code in two manners: having more than one tRNA (with a specific anti-codon) for a particular amino acid; and 'wobble' base-pairing, i.e. permitting non-standard base-pairing at the 3rd anti-codon position. Lineage: Eukaryota; Metazoa; Chordata; Mammalia; Proboscidea; Elephantidae. The record is from Rfam by way of RNAcentral.